RNAcentral lists this ribosomal RNA (251 nucleotides) under uncultured Leptotrichia sp. RNAcentral describes it as "partial 16S ribosomal RNA". It matches the Rfam family "Bacterial small subunit ribosomal RNA", at positions 103 to 355 of the family's 1533-position model. Lineage: Bacteria; Fusobacteriati; Fusobacteriota; Fusobacteriia; Fusobacteriales; Leptotrichiaceae. The record is from RNAcentral.
CGGGUGAGUAACGCGUAAGAACUUGCCCUUUAGACUGGGAUAACAGAGGGAAACUUCUGAUAAUACUGGAUAAGUUAGUAUAUCGCAUGAUAUGCAAAUGAAAGCUACGGCACUAAAGGAGAGCUUUGCGUCCUAUUAGCUAGUUGGUAAGGUAAGAGCUUACCAAGGCGAUGAUAGGUAGCCGGCCUGAGAGGGUGGACGGCCACAAGGGGACUGAGAUACGGCCCUUACUCCUACGGGAGGCAGCAGCC